CCUACGGGUGGCUGCAGUGGGGAAUAUUGCACAAUGGGCGGAAGCCUGAUGCAGCAACGCCGCGUGAGCGAUGAAGGUCUUCUGGUCGUAAAGCUCUGUCCUCAAGGAAGAUAAUCACGGUACGUGUGCACGCAGCCCCGGCUCCCUCCGUGCCAGCAGCCGCGGUCAUACGUAGGGGGCUAGCGUUAACCGGAAUUACUGGGCGUAAAGGGUGCGUAGGUGGUUUCUUAAGUCAGAGGUGAAAGGCUAGGGCUCAACCGUAGUAAGCCGUUGAACCUGGGGAACUUGAGUGCAGGAGAGGAGAGUGGAAUGCCUGGUGUAGCGGUGAAAUGCGUAGAUAUCAGGAGGAACACCAGUUGCGAAGGCGGCUCGCUGGAGUGUAACUGACACUGAGGCACGAAAGCGUGGGGAGCAAACAGGAUUAGAUACCCUAGUAGUC
RNAcentral lists this ribosomal RNA (439 nucleotides) under uncultured bacterium. RNAcentral describes it as "partial 16S ribosomal RNA". It matches the Rfam family "Bacterial small subunit ribosomal RNA", at positions 338 to 795 of the family's 1533-position model. The record is from RNAcentral.